AGAGUUUGAUCCUGGCUCAGAACGAACGCUGGCGGCAGGCCUAACACAUGCAAGUCGAACGCAUCCUUCGGGGUGAGUGGCAGACGGGUGAGUAACACGUGGGAACGUGCCUUUCGGUUCGGGAUAACCCAGGGAAACUUGGGCUAAUACCGGAUACGCCCUUUGGGGGAAAGAUUGAUUGCCGAAAGAUCGGCCCGCGUCUGAUUAGCUAGUUGGUGAGGUAACGGCUCACCAAGGCGACGAUCAGUAGCUGGUCUGAGAGGAUGAUCAGCCACACUGGGACUGAGACACGGCCCAGACUCCUACGGGAGGCAGCAGUGGGGAAUAUUGGACAAUGGGCGCAAGCCUGAUCCAGCCAUGCCGCGUGAGUGAUGAAGGCCCUAGGGUUGUAAAGCUCUUUCGGCGGGGACGAUAAUGACGGUACCCGCAGAAGAAGCCCCGGCUAACUUCGUGCCAGCAGCCGCGGUAAUACGAAGGGGGCUAGCGUUGUUCGGAAUCACUGGGCGUAAAGGGCGCGUAGGCGGCCAUUCAAGUCGGGGGUGAAAGCCUGUGGCUCAACCACAGAAUUGCCUUCGAUACUGUUUGGCUUGAGACCGGAAGAGGUCAGUGGAACUGCGAGUGUAGAGGUGAAAUUCGUAGAUAUUCGCAAGAACACCAGUGGCGAAGGCGGCUUACUGGUCCGGUUCUGACGCUGAGGCGCGAAAGCGUGGGGAGCAAACAGGAUUAGAUACCCCGGUAGUCC
RNAcentral lists this ribosomal RNA (742 nucleotides) under uncultured Hyphomicrobiales bacterium. RNAcentral's name for it is "bacterial SSU rRNA". It matches the Rfam family "Bacterial small subunit ribosomal RNA", at positions 8 to 796 of the family's 1533-position model. The record is from RNAcentral. Lineage: Bacteria; Pseudomonadati; Pseudomonadota; Alphaproteobacteria; Hyphomicrobiales.